UUGGGCGUAAGGGCUCGUAGGUGGUUGAUCGCGUCGGAAGUGUAAUCUUGGGGCUUAACCCUGAGCGUGCUUUCGAUACGGGUUGACUCGAGGAAGGUAGGGGAGAAUGGAAUUCCUGGUGGAGCGGUGGAAUGCGCAGAUAUCAGGAGGAACACCAGUGGCGAAGGCGGUUCUCUGGGCCUUUCCUGACGCUGAGGAGCGAAAGCGUGGGGAGCGAACAGGCUUAGAUACCCUGGUAGUCCACGCUGUAAACGGUGGGUACUAGGUGUGGGGUCCAUUCCACGGGUUCCGUGCCGUAGCUAACGCUUUAAGUACCCCGCCUGGGGAGUACGGCCGCAAGGCUAAAACUCAAAGGAAUUGACGGGGCCCCGCACAAGCGGCGGAGCAUGCGGAUUAAUUCGAUGCAACGCGUAGAACCUUACCUGGGUUUGACAUGGAUCGGGAGUGCUCAGAGAUGGGUGUGCCUCUUUUGGGGUCGGUUCACAGGUGGUGCAUGGCUGUCGUCAGCUCGUGUCGUGAGAUGUUGGGUUAAGUCCCGCAACGAGCGCAACCCUUGUUCACUGUUGCCAGCACGUUAUGGUGGGGACUCAGUGGAGACCGCCGGGGUCAACUCGGAGGAAGGUGGGGAUGACGUCAAGUCAUCAUGCCCCUUAUGUCCAGGGCUUCACGCAUGCUACAAUGGCUGGUACA
RNAcentral lists this ribosomal RNA (690 nucleotides) under uncultured Propionibacterium sp. Its description in RNAcentral is "SSU rRNA". It matches the Rfam family "Bacterial small subunit ribosomal RNA", at positions 554 to 1241 of the family's 1533-position model. Lineage: Bacteria; Bacillati; Actinomycetota; Actinomycetes; Propionibacteriales; Propionibacteriaceae. The record is from RNAcentral.